Molecule: ribosomal RNA, 253 nt
Filed under: uncultured bacterium
Lineage: Bacteria
Description: partial 16S ribosomal RNA
Rfam family: Bacterial small subunit ribosomal RNA
Source: RNAcentral
UACGAAGGGGGCUAGCGUUGUUCGGAAUUACUGGGCGUAAAGCGUGCGCAGGUGGCCUUCCAAGUCAGGGGUGAAAGCCCAGAGCUCAACUCUGGAAUUGCCUUUGAGACUGUGAGGCUUGAGUACGGGAGAGGUGAGUGGAAUUCCCAGUGUAGAGGUGAAAUUCGUAGAUAUUGGGAAGAACACCGGUGGCGAAGGCGGCUCACUGGCCCGAAACUGACGCUCAUGCACGACAGCGUGGGGAUCAAACAGG